This 600-nucleotide ribosomal RNA is filed under the name Colymbetes paykulli. RNAcentral's name for it is "SSU rRNA". It matches the Rfam family "Eukaryotic small subunit ribosomal RNA", at positions 25 to 595 of the family's 1831-position model. Lineage: Eukaryota; Metazoa; Arthropoda; Insecta; Coleoptera; Dytiscidae. The record is from RNAcentral. RNAcentral also lists the same sequence under 1 other name.
CAUAUGCUUGUCUCAAAGAUUAAGCCAUGCAUGUCUCAGUACAAGCCACAUUAAGGUGAAACCGCGAAAGGCUCAUUAAAUCAGUUAUGGUUCCUUAGAUCGUACCCACAUUUACUUGGAUAACUGUGGUAAUUCUAGAGCUAAUACAUGCAAACAGAGUUCCGACCGGAGACGGGAGGAAUGCUUUUAUUAGAUCAAAACCAAUCGGCGGCGGGCGCGCUCGCGCGUCCGUUCGCCGCUCAAUUUGGUGACUCUGAAUAACUUUCGGCUGAUCGCACGGUCUCGCACCGGCGACGCAUCUUUCAAAUGUCUGCCUUAUCAACUGUCGAUGGUAGGUUCUGCGCCUACCAUGGUCGUAACGGGUAACGGGGAAUCAGGGUUCGAUUCCGGAGAGGGAGCCUGAGAAACGGCUACCACAUCCAAGGAAGGCAGCAGGCGCGCAAAUUACCCACUCCCGGCACGGGGAGGUAGUGACGAAAAAUAACGAUACGGGACUCAUCCGAGGCCCCGUAAUCGGAAUGAGUACACUUUAAAUCCUUUAACGAGGAUCAAUUGGAGGGCAAGUCUGGUGCCAGCAGCCGCGGUAAUUCCAGCUCCAAU